UCUCGAUUGGUCUAGUGGUCAGGAUACCUGCUUGUCAUCGCUUGCGACCAGGGCUUUUCCUGCAGGAAAACCUGGAAGAUAUCUGACAAACCGCAGGUGGCCGGGGUUCGAUUCCCCGAUCGAGAG
This is a non-coding RNA of Xylaria digitata, 126 nucleotides long. NCBI's taxonomy places the organism in Eukaryota, Fungi, Ascomycota, Sordariomycetes, Xylariales, Xylariaceae. The record is from the annotation of a GenBank genome assembly.